GCCAGGUGUGGUGGCUCACACCUAUAAUCCCAGCACUUUGGGAGGCCAAGGCAGGAGGAUCGCUGGAGCCCAGGAGUUCAAGACCAGCCUGGGCAACACAGCGAGACCCUGUCUCUU
This 117-nucleotide non-coding RNA is filed under the name Homo sapiens (human). Lineage: Eukaryota; Metazoa; Chordata; Mammalia; Primates; Hominidae. The record is from Rfam by way of RNAcentral.